UCGGGAAUUUUGGGCAAUGGGCGAAAGCCUGACCCAGCAACGCCGCGUGAAGGAUGAAGUAUUUCGGUAUGUAAACUUCGAAAGAAUAGGAAGAAUAAAUGACGGUACUAUUUAUAAGGUCCGGCUAACUACGUGCCAGCAGCCGCGGUAAUACGUAGGGACCAAGCGUUGUUCGGAUUUACUGGGCGUAAAGGGCGCGUAGGCGGCAAUUCAAGUCAUCUGUGAAAUCUCCGGGCUUAACUCGGAACGGUCAGAUGAUACUGCUUUGCUAGAGUGCAGAAGGGGCAAUCGGAAUUCUUGGUGUAGCGGUGAAAUGCGUAGAUAUCAAGAGGAACACCUGAGGUGAAGACGGGUUGCUGGGCUGACACUGACGCUGAGGCGCGAAAGCCAGGGGAGCAAACGGGAUUAGAUACCCUGGUAGUCCCUGAGCGGGC
RNAcentral lists this ribosomal RNA (434 nucleotides) under uncultured bacterium. RNAcentral describes it as "bacterial SSU rRNA". It matches the Rfam family "Bacterial small subunit ribosomal RNA", at positions 355 to 804 of the family's 1533-position model. The record is from RNAcentral.